Long non-coding RNA from Mesocricetus auratus (golden hamster), 657 nucleotides. RefSeq lists it as uncharacterized. Lineage: Eukaryota; Metazoa; Chordata; Mammalia; Rodentia; Cricetidae. The record is from RefSeq and is a predicted model, not a curated record. The transcript is spliced from 3 exons.
GCCUUCUACAAGGUCAGGUUCCAUAAGAUUGUGCUUUAUAUCACACAAGAACCCUCCACAAGGUCAGGUUCUGUGGUUUGGGGGGAUACCAACUCCACUUCCAAGGCUGUUGAGAAUUAGUGGCCAGACCAACAAAAACUUAAAAAGCUGGAAUGGAGAACGCCAUGGUUCCUGUCCCAGACCCACCCACUAGCUGAAGUCAUUGAGUCUGUUAGUGUCCAUAUUUGUUUCCUUGUGUUGACAAUGGUGGUGGAGGUUCUGAGACCCUGACUGCCCAUCUUUACAAUAGCAGGGUAUGUCCCGACACUCCAGGAGCCUUACUUCGACCUCAGAUGCUUUCCUCAACAACCGCAACCUACCUCACGUCGUUGUCAUCACACGCUCAUUUCAAAGAAAGUUAGUCCACGGCCGAAAGACACAAGAAGCAACCAGAGAAUUCUGUGUUUGGAAGAUAACUGUUCCAAACUCCUGGAAGCCAUGAAAAUUUGUUGGCAUCAAGAAAAUGUGCACUGAGGUUGAUACUAGGUCCCUGGAGAUGCCAAAUGGCACAUGGGGACAUUAGUUUCAUCCCAACUGCUUUUGGAAAAUCCACGCAAACAUCAAAUUAAGCAAAACUUGGCAAAAUCUAGCCUAGAAUCCUAUAUGAAAUAAAAGCCA